UACACCUCUACCCACCAAGAAAUUUUUGGGUGCCGACCGGGCACCACGUGGUGCCCGAACAGUGUAUCUGGAUUGUCUAUUUUGAUUUUGAACGGCUCGAAUUUGGAGAGAGAAAGAGGAAAGAGAGGAUUUCAAUCUGGUUCGGAUUGUUCUCAUCGUGUUCUUGGUGUCCAGAGUAGUCAUUGAGCUGGUCUUGUACAAUCGUCCUUAUCCUUUAUUCCGGAAACAGCUUUGGUUACAAAAUAUAGCGCGAGCAACAUGAUCAGCUACCAGCACAAGAAAAAACAUACAGAAGUCGUAUGCAGUGCAUUCAAUUUUCAAGCAGCAGCAACGACAACAACAGCCUUCGUCGAUAUCCAUCUCAUAUUCUCCUCCUUUCAGAGCAGUCACUGAUUCAACACAAUUGAAUGUGGAGGAGAUCAGUGUCCGUCUUGCGGUUGUCAGCCUCAUCUCAUCCUUUUUUUUUUUUGAACAAAAAAUAAGAUUGUAUUGAUCUUUGGAUCGAAAGUUUCAAAGAUCAAACAGAUAGGGAGUAAGAUGGCAUCACAAAGUAUGGAAAAAGAAGCUUUUCAACAAAAUUGGCUUCAGACCGCUCGACAAUCAUCCUUGCGGCUCUCUGAACACUAUUGCCUCCUUAUUUUAGUUCAUAACUUGAAAAUCAUUGCGCAGAGGUAAAGAAUUUUGACAUUAAAAUCUAUAAAUUAACCAAGAGUAAGCCCACAUAAAUGUUCAAGCAUCGGCAGGAUAUAUCUUUCGCAAGCAGGUUUUACGUUCAUCGGAGCUUGCUCAAAUGUCCUGAA
Long non-coding RNA from Rhododendron vialii, 800 nucleotides. RefSeq lists it as uncharacterized. The transcript has 3 exons. The record is from RefSeq and is a predicted model, not a curated record. NCBI's taxonomy places the organism in Eukaryota, Viridiplantae, Streptophyta, Magnoliopsida, Ericales, Ericaceae.